RNAcentral lists this ribosomal RNA (406 nucleotides) under uncultured bacterium. RNAcentral describes it as "partial 16S ribosomal RNA". It matches the Rfam family "Bacterial small subunit ribosomal RNA", at positions 30 to 526 of the family's 1533-position model. The record is from RNAcentral.
AUUGAACGCUGGCGGCAGGCCUAACACAUGCAAGUAGAACGAGUGGCGGACGGGUGAGUAAUGUAUGGGAAACUGCCUGUUGGAGGGGGAUAACUACUGGAAACGGUAGCUAAUACCGCAUACCAUCAGAUGUGCCUAGAUGGGCUUAGCUUUUUGGGGGGGUAACGGUUCACAAAGGCCACGAACCCUAGCUGGUCUGAGAGGAUGACCGUCCACACUGGAACUGAGACACGGUCCAGACUCCUCGGGAAGCAAGCAGUGGGUACUAUUGCACAAUGGGCGCAAGCCUGAUGCAGCCAUGCCGCGUGUAUGAAGAAGGCCUUCGGGUUGUAAAGUACUUUCGGCGGGGAGGCGUUACCCACAGAAAAAGCACCGGCUAACUCCGUGCCAGCAGCCGCGGUAAUUC